This is a long non-coding RNA of Ostrea edulis (European flat oyster), 2162 nucleotides long. RefSeq lists it as uncharacterized. Lineage: Eukaryota; Metazoa; Mollusca; Bivalvia; Ostreida; Ostreidae. The transcript has 4 exons. The record is from RefSeq and is a predicted model, not a curated record.
AUUUUUAACUUCAUCUACAUUAUUUUAAAUGACUUAAUUGCUUGUUCAUAAUUCUAAAAAUAUUUCUGCAUUAAAGAGAGAGAGAGAGAGAGAGAGAGCGAGAGAGAUAGAGAAGUAUUCAUCUCAAUUUUAAACUUCAUCUACAUUGUUGUAAAUGACUUGCUUGUUCAUAAUUCUAAAAUUAUUUUUGCAUUAAAAAGAGUAUCAUUUAAAUACCGUAGACCGUUAAUCGUAAUACAUUUUUUGAACACGCCUGUACUUUGGAAAACCCCAUUUCGAACAAGCAUAGCAUUCGGUAAAAAUAUUGGUGAGUAACCGAACUGAUUUAUUCAUGUACAUUUAUCCUACAUGUACGCUAACACUAUUUUCAGUAUAUCCGAAUCCUACAUAUAUAUUGUCAUUAAAAUUGAAGUAAUGAUUAAAAAAUACUUGUUUUCAUUCAACGAAGAAAUCCGGCCCGGCACUUGGCAUUCUCUCACCAGAGGGCGCGCUACGCAAGCUUCACUUUGUUGUGGAGCGUAGCGUAACGCCCUCUGGUGAGAGAUUGGGCACUUGGGUAUAACUUGGUUUAUCAUAUCUUGAUGUACAUAUGGGACGUAAUCACGAAAACAUCGUUAUGGAAAUACUUUUAAAUUUAAUUUAUAUAGGUUUGAUUUAUAAAGAGAGGUUUAUUUUAAUUAGUACUUACAAUAAUUGCUUUCUAGGGAUCACAGUUGAUGUGCUUCGUCCGUAAUUCGUCCUUGUUGGGGAUAUCCACUCGUUGUAAUGGAGGGGGGGGGGAUUCAUAAUCUCAUUCUGACAUUAUUUCUGAUGGCAUAGAAAUUGUUUUCCUCUUUCUGAAUAACCCACAUCUUUCUUGAUUCUUUUCUCCAAAAAUAACUGUCGCGAACACCGUAAUGUGCAUACCGCAUAUUACAUCAUUUUAUUUUAAAGUGAUAUAAAAAUCCGCGAAAGACACGCUGAUGAGUUAACCGUUAUGUAACGUUAUUAUGCACAAUGAAAAGGGUGCAUAUUAUACGAUUUUAAUUGUUACUGACGAUUAACAUUUAAAAAAAUAUAUGCAAAGUUAGGGAGCUGCACUUAUUGGUACAGCCCUAUAAGACGGAGUUUUCGGCCAGAGACUUAUGGAUGUCUUAAUGGGUAAGGAAAAUCCCGAGUUAUACAUUGUUCUUGUACGAUAUGUUAUACUUUUUUAUUAUAAAAAAAAUUCUCACUCAUGUUAUACACACAUUUUUUAAAAAGCCAACUUUUUAUCAUUUAAUCUACAGUGGGGUACAGUGUGAGUUGUUGUAGAUUUAUUUUAUAGCAGAUAAUCUGGCUUAUAGUGUUACAAUAUUAGACCAGAUGUAGUAGAAUCAUGUAAAAUAUGUUGAAAUGGAUGUGAUACAAUGUGUAUUGUAUAAACAGAUGAAAUGGAGCCAUACUCAGAUAUCGAGAUUGAUGAAGAAACCGUUGAGAUAGAACCCUAUCCAAAUGAUGAAGUAGAAUAUUUAGAUUCUGAUGGCAUCAGGUUGACAAGCCAUCACUCAACUGCACUCUGGAGAACAAUAUGUCCCAAAUAUUGCACAUUUAAACUUUCAAGUGAAAACUGUAUGGAAGUUAGGAGAAAUGAACCAAAGAAUCAGAAAGAUCAUACUCAGUGGCUACUAGACUAUUUCUUUGAACAUGCAACACAGGACACAGUUUACCAUCUCAUUUGUGGAAAGGAAGGCUGCAUGAAUUGUUGGAUGUACUGUUACAGUAUCAUCACAUUCACUUAACACCUCGCCAUGUAAUGAACAUAAAUAAGUAUACACUGGUGGGUACAUCAACCCUAAAAGGAGGAAGACGAGUUGCUGAUCAAGUGGAAUAAAUAAACAUCAACUUCCCUACAUAUUGCAGUCUUCAGCUUGUGUAUUAUAUUUCGGAAUGAAUCUUCCAUUUUGGAAUUUAGGGGGAUGGGAGGGUUUUGGUUGAUUUACUUUUGAGAUGAUCAUCAUUACUGCAUCUUACCAACUCUGAUGUCCAAUAAGACAUAGAUCGAUUUUGAAGUGGCCCAAUUCAGGCAUUGACUGAUUAUAAAGUCAACCAAUAAAGACAUUGACCGACUCUGAUGCCGUCCAAUGCAAAAAUAAGACUUAUUUUGAAGUGGCCCAAUGCAGGCAUCGGCCUACUAGAAAGUC